This 253-nucleotide ribosomal RNA is filed under the name uncultured bacterium. RNAcentral describes it as "partial 16S ribosomal RNA". It matches the Rfam family "Bacterial small subunit ribosomal RNA", at positions 524 to 776 of the family's 1533-position model. The record is from RNAcentral.
UACGUAGGGCGCAAGCGUUGUCCGGAAUUAUUGGGCGUAAAGAGCUCGUAGGUGGUCUGUUGCGUCCGCUGUGAAAACCCAGGGCUUAACCCUGGGCUGGCAGUGGAUACGGGCAGACUAGAGGUAGGUAGGGGAGAAUGGAAUUCCCGGUGUAGCGGUGAAAUGCGCAGAUAUCGGGAGGAACACCGGUGGCGAAGGCGGUUCUCUGGGCCUUACCUGACACUGAGGAGCGAAAGCGUGGGGAGCAAACAGG